UUAAAGCUACGGCGGUACUAGUCCAAGGAGGGCAACACACUCUUCAAGUUGUAGAGCCAAGUAGUAGAAGUAGUAGACUUUAUUAGUGAAUGAUUUCUGAAGGCUUUUGUUCUUGUUUUCUGUUACAAUGAUUUUACAGGCGGGAGUACAGGCAAAGUUUUCAUACCUGAAGUGGUUUGCUAAAUGUUUUAAAUAUAGUAAGCUGUUAAAUGGUGGAAGGCUCGUGCUAGUGAAUUGCAAAAUGAGAGAUCGAGAAGACUCACCCAAUGGUAGUAAUUUCGCUAGUUUGUGGCGUUACGCAGAGUUUAAAAAUAAAUUUCGUCGUUUCGUCUUGUCGUUGUUCUAUCAAGAUGCGCUGCUGAAAUGUUUCGAAUGGUUGCUUGAAAUAUUUCAAAUCAGACAUUCUUUCAAGUUGUGAAAAGAAUCACAACAAUUACAGCGAAUCACGUAAAGUGCAGCAGAACUAAACGACAAUUACAUACGUUCCAUUAGUAAGAAGAAACACAGAAACAACUCAGGAACCAUUCGUCAAAUAACCUCAAUCAUUUGGCAUUUGUACAUGCAGGUAGAUAUAUAAACGAUAUUAGCAAAGCCUAGGACUAAGCCACUAGGUUGGAUCGUUUAGAGUCAUUCCAGUGAUCUACCGGAUACAGCAAUUCUAAGUGCACCAAGUAAUGAGGCCCAGCACGAUACUGGCAGAUGUUGAUGGACCACCCAGAUAACAGCAGAUCAUUAUAUCAACGAGGCCCUGUCUGCGAUCAUCAAAACAAACAACAUAGAUAGGUCGACGAAGACGGCGUCACAAGAAAACAAUUGUAACCAUAAGACUCGGAGUUCGUACAGAAAGGAAAUUGGGAGACAAAACUGCAAGCACAUGUAGAAACAGCAUGAGUCCUGUCAUUUGGGCAUUUGAGGGACCGAUCUACACUCAACGAAACUGCCAAGCCCACCCGGGAUAUGGUGAUCUUGCAGUAUAACAUGUUUCCAGUCAAAUAUUUCAUAUAAAUUAGUUUCAAGCAGCACGGCCCAUCCAUUCUUAACCCAGUUUGUUUGAAACUCUCAAAUUAAAUGGUACACCAAUUGGUUUAACUUGUGUUAGAGAACUUAUAUUAGUAUAUUUGGCAAAUUCCGAGUGAUCUUUAUCUUACAGUAUUUUUUCCCCCUGAUAUGUUGUGCACUUUGGACUAUUACAAUCACCAAACCACGAUACGUAUAUUAAGAGCAAGGUAGCAGCCAAA
Molecule: long non-coding RNA, 1238 nt
Organism: Anopheles stephensi (Asian malaria mosquito)
Lineage: Eukaryota; Metazoa; Arthropoda; Insecta; Diptera; Culicidae
Exons: 2
Source: RefSeq, a predicted model, not a curated record